Anopheles stephensi (Asian malaria mosquito) is the source of this 2872-nucleotide RNA transcript. RefSeq lists it as uncharacterized. NCBI's taxonomy places the organism in Eukaryota, Metazoa, Arthropoda, Insecta, Diptera, Culicidae. The transcript has 8 exons. The record is from RefSeq and is a predicted model, not a curated record.
UUGUCAUAAUACAAAAUGGCUUUUCAAUGAAGCUGUUCUGUGACGGCAUUGCACCGUUCACUUCAUAUUGCUGACAACUUUUGCACGUGUACAUUGUUCGAGCUACCGGCACAGCUAACUCCUUCCAAUUAACUAGAAAAGCUUUAAGUUUAUUUCAAUCAUGGGCCGCUCGCCACAAAGAAAAGGGAGCAAUCGACAGCAUAGAUUGAUAUGCGCCAAAGAUUGCGGUGGAUGAAAUGGAAUCCAAUGCCUAAAACCAUCCCAGGGACUUUUGACCAAGCUAUGCUGGAAAGAAUCUUGAUCGGAGUCGGCUUCAGGAGUGAUCGUCUGCAUGCAUUCAAUUGUGCCGAAGAUUGCGGUGGAUGAAAUGAAUGGCACACUUCCUAAGAUAAUCCCAGGGCCUUUUGAUCAAGUAAUGCUAGAAAGGAUCUUGAUCGGAGUCGGCUUCAGCAAGUAGAACCUUUAGUUAAUGAAUAACUAUCGAUCGUGCCAUUCAUAUGAUGUAAUUUAAUAAUGUCUGUGUUUCACCUGAAUUAAUUUGAUUAAAAUUCAAUGGAAUUUAUCUGAUAGCUGUACACGGUUUAAGUGUGAAGCCUAAUUGGGGCAGGAAACGUAUUGAUAAUGUAUUUCUUUUCUAUUGCAGGGAGUGAUCGUCUGCAUGCAUUCAAUUGUGCCGCAGAUUGCGGUGGAUGAAAUGAAUGGCACACUUCCUAAGAUAAUCCCAGGGCCUUUUGAUCAAGUAAUGCUAGAAAGGAUCUUGAUCGGAGUCGGCUUCAGGAGUGAUCGUCUGCAUGCAUUCAAUUGUGCCGAAGAUUGCGGUGGAUGAAAUGAAUGGCACACUUCCUAAGAUAAUCCCAGGGCCUUUUGAUCAAGUAAUGCUAGAAAGGAUCUUGAUCGGAGUCGGCUUCAGGAGUGAUCGUCUGCAUGCAUUCAAUUGUGCCGAAGAUUGCGGUGGAUGAAAUGAAUGGCACACUUCCUAAGAUAAUCCCAGGGCCUUUUGAUCAAGUAAUGCUAGAAAGGAUCUUGAUCGGAGUCGGCUUCAGAAAUGAUCGACAACUUGCAUUGAUGUGUGCCAAAGAUUGCGGUGGAUGACAUGGAACCCAAUGCCUAAAAUCAUCUCAGGGAGUUUUAAGCAUUUAAUGCUAGAAAGGAUCGUAAUCGGAGUCAGCUUCAGUAAGUAGAACAAGCAAUUAUCGUGCGGUUAGUGUGAUUUAUCAUAAUAAUGCCGGUGUUUCACCUGAAUGAAUUUGAUUAAAAUUCAAUGGAUGAAUUAUAAUAGUUGUUCGAGGGUAAAAAUUUGAGAAAAAAAUACUAUUCAUUCACUCACAUUCACAUUAAUUCAUUCUUUUCCGCUGCAGUAGAUGAUUGGAAAUGUUUUCCUACAUUAGGUCAUGUUAGGACCAUGUCGAUAUAUCAGCAUUACUGAUACCUUCUAUCAGUUUAGAUGUAUCGUUUUAGAAAUAAAGCAUUUUAUGUUUCUGAAGAGCCAUGUCUCAGUCAAUUGGUCCACAAAAUCACAGGAACAUGCAAAUACGCUGAUUGCUAUCUAUAUGGCCUUAGAAUGCUCUCUCAUGAAUGGCCCAUACCAUUAUUUUUUACGUAGAUUCACAUCUAUUUUCUAAUACAGGUGUGUUUUUAUGUGGUCUCUUGGUACAGUCUGAGACAUUUAACUAAGAGUUUCUUUUUCCCGACACCAUCCCAGACCCCGUUUGUCUGACAUUCAGUCACAUAUCUCUUAUGAGAAUAUAUUUUAUACAGCGCUCUUGAUGUAGAUGCAAGCCAUGAAUGCAGGGAGUUUGACACACCUGCUUUUAGCAAAACACAGCGUUUAGCAAACAAGCAAAUUUUAGCAACAAAACAAAAAUUGUUCAGAACCUACAACAAAUCAGCAUCAACGAGAACCGUAAAAUUUGAGGAAACAACCAAAGAAUGCUGAAUUUGAUGCCGUUUCUUUCGUAUUUCGUAAACCAAAGCGAUCUUUCUUUCGAUUGAAGAUCGACUCACGCGUUAUUUAUGUGACGCGGUACGGAUGCGGUGACGCACAAAACUGAUUUACAAAUCUAUCGAUACAGCUAUUAGAGUGUUAGUAACCGCUUGGCUCAAGGUUGCAAUAUUUGCGUUCGCUUAAAAGGUAAAGAGCUAAGGCGGCACUUACAAAUGAUCUUCUAUACAGAGAUUGAUGCAGACAUUCCGAGAUAUUCCCUAUGGGAUGCAUAUUAAACUGUUCGAUCAUAAUAUUUGUGCGAUCGAUAAUCAAAAAUAACCCGCAGGAAAAAGAUCAAAAACGGGUGUGUAGUUUUGGCUCGUAGAUAGAUCUUGAUCGAUUCAACGAUUCUUUCUAUUCAUCAUAAAGAUCUUUCUUGCCGGUGAGACGUUACGUUUAUGUAACACGUUCCGUUCCGAUCGGAUUGUUCUAGUUUACAAGUGCAUUUUCCAUGAUGGAAAUAUAGAGACUAUUGGUAAUUUGAGCGCCGCCGCCAUCAUCGACUGUGACGAAACGAAUGCUAAACAAAUGUUAUUAACAAAUCAUGUCUUUCUGUUGAAGGUUAACUUACAUGCCAGAGCCGGCUGCAUCGUAGUGAACCAAACUUAUCCAAAUAGCAACACCCAACUCACAUUGAAGAUAAUGAAAAAAGACGAUAAGCAGCCAAAGGAAAAGUUGUUGGACCGGAAAGUUAGACACCCUACUGCAACGUCUUCCACCAAAUCCAUCAUUAUGAAUCUAAUAAUAGCAUUUUUUCUUUAUUUGCUGAGACGCACCAUAGAAGCUGGUGGGAAAAGUGCCAUUACAAAGUAUAGUAAAUUUAUAAAGUAAACCACAGUGCGGUGCCGCCAUUGCAAAGAAUGUCAAUAAAUUUAUUAUGCUACAGUA